Thalassophryne amazonica is the source of this 261-nucleotide long non-coding RNA. RefSeq lists it as uncharacterized. The record is from RefSeq and is a predicted model, not a curated record. NCBI's taxonomy places the organism in Eukaryota, Metazoa, Chordata, Actinopteri, Batrachoidiformes, Batrachoididae. The transcript is spliced from 4 exons.
ACAAAGUCCCAUCAGUGAAAAAAAAGGUUAUAAUUUGCCAGAGAACACACUGACUGGCCUAAAGAGCAAUGGCGCAACAUUUUGUGGAUUGAUGAAAGAAUGUUCUUUUUGGGUCUCUGGGUUGUAGACAAUUUGUCAGACGACCCCCCAAAACUGAAUUGAAACCACAGUACACUGUGAAGACAGUGAAGCAUGGUGGAGCAAGCAUCAUGAUAUGGGGAUGUUUCUCAUACUGUGAUGUCGGGCCUAUUUAGUGCAUAC